Molecule: ribosomal RNA, 399 nt
Filed under: uncultured soil bacterium
Lineage: Bacteria
Description: bacterial SSU rRNA
Rfam family: Bacterial small subunit ribosomal RNA
Source: RNAcentral
AGAUUGAACGCUGGCGGCAGGCCUAACACAUGCAAGUCGAGCGGCAGCACGGGUACUUGUACCUGGUGGCGAGCGGCGGACGGGUGAGUAAUGCCUAGGAAUCCGCCUGAUAGUGGGGGAUAACGUUCGGAAACGGACGCUAAUACCGCAUACGUCCUACGGGAGAAAGUGGGGGAUCUUCGGACCUCACGCUAUCAGAUGAGCCUAGGUCGGAUUAGCUAGUUGGUAGGUAAAGGCCUACCAAGGCUACGAUCCGUAACUGGUCUGAGAGGAUGAUCAGUCACACUGGAACUGAGACACGGUCCAGACUCCUACGGGAGCAGCAGUGGGAAUAUUGGACAUGGGCAAAGCCUGAUCCAGCCAUGCCGCGUGUGUGAAGAGGUCUUACGGAUUGUAAAG